GACGUAGGGGGCGAGCGUUGUCCGGAUUUAUUGGGCGUAAAGAGCUCGUAGGCGGCUCAGAAAGUCGGGUGUGAAACCUCCAGGCUCAACCUGGAGACGCCACCUGAUACUGCUGUGGCUAGAGUCCGGUAGGGGAGCACGGAAUACCCGGUGUAGCGGUGAAAUGCUUAGAUAUCGGGUGGAACACCAGUGGCGAAGGCGGUGCUCUGGGCCGGAACUGACGCUGAGGAGCGAAAGCGUGGGUAGCAAACAGG
This 254-nucleotide unclassified non-coding RNA is filed under the name uncultured Acidimicrobiia bacterium. Its description in RNAcentral is "contains 16S-23S intergenic spacer region". It matches the Rfam family "Bacterial small subunit ribosomal RNA", at positions 524 to 776 of the family's 1533-position model. The record is from RNAcentral. Lineage: Bacteria; Bacillati; Actinomycetota; Acidimicrobiia.